Molecule: ribosomal RNA, 468 nt
Filed under: uncultured bacterium
Lineage: Bacteria
Description: partial 16S ribosomal RNA
Rfam family: Bacterial small subunit ribosomal RNA
Source: RNAcentral
GACGAACGCUGGCGGCGUGCUUAACACAUGCAAGUCGAACGGAAAGGCCCGGCUUUUGGGCGGUGCUCGACUGGCGAACGGGGGAGUAACACGUGAGUACCCUGUCCCUCACUGUGGGGUAACUUCAGAAAACUGGGUCUCAUACCGCAUAGGAUCUAUUGCCGCAGGGUGGGGGUUGGAUAGUUUCGGCGGUUGGGGGUGGACUGGCGGCUUAUGAGCUUGUUGGUGGGGUAGUGGCAUACCAAGGCUUUGACGGGUAGCCGGCCUGGGCGGGGGACCGGCCCCACUGGGACGGAGAUACGGCCCAGCCUCCUAUGGGACGCAAGAGUGGGGAGUAUUGUACAAGGGGCGGGAGGCAGGUGCAACCCCGCCGCGUGCGGGAAGACGUGCUUGGGGUUGUGAACUACUGCCGCCUUACCCGAGGCGUGAGUGACGGUACUGGGUGAAGAAGCACCGGCUAACUACGUG